RNAcentral lists this ribosomal RNA (656 nucleotides) under uncultured bacterium. RNAcentral describes it as "bacterial SSU rRNA". It matches the Rfam family "Bacterial small subunit ribosomal RNA", at positions 685 to 1341 of the family's 1533-position model. The record is from RNAcentral.
ANUGCGCAGAUAUCAGGAGGAACACCGAUGGCGAAGGCAGGUCUNUGGGCAGUAACUGACGCUGAGGAGCGAAAGCAUGGGGAGCGAACAGGAUUAGAUACCCUGGUAGUCCAUGCUGUAAACGGUGGGCGUUAGGCGUGGGGACCGGUUUGGUUUCUGUGCCGUAGCUAACGCAUUAAGCGCCCCGCCUGGGGAGUACGGCCGCAAGGCUAAAACUCAAAGGAAUUGACGGGGGCCCGCACAAGCGGCGGAGCAUGUGGAUUAAUUCGAUGCAACGCGAAGAACCUUACCUGGGUUUGACAUGCACCAGACGGUUGUAGAGAUACGUACCUCCCUUUGUGGUUGGUGUGCAGGUGGUGCAUGGUUGUCGUCAGCUCGUGUCGUGAGAUGUUGGGUUAAGUCCCGCAACGAGCGCAACCCUUGUCUUAUGUUGCCAGCACUUUGGGUGGGGACUCAUGAGAGACUGCCGGGGUUAACUCGGAGGAAGGUGGGGAUGACGUCAAAUCAUCAUGCCCUUUAUGCCCAGGGCUUCACACAUGCUACAAUGGUUAGUACAACGCGCUGCGAACCUGUGAGGGUGAGCGAAUCGCUGAAAGCUAAUCUCAGUUCGGAUUGGGGUCUGCAACUCGACCCCAUGAAGUCGGAGUCGCUAGUAA